This 259-nucleotide ribosomal RNA is filed under the name uncultured bacterium. RNAcentral describes it as "partial 16S ribosomal RNA". It matches the Rfam family "Bacterial small subunit ribosomal RNA", at positions 524 to 777 of the family's 1533-position model. The record is from RNAcentral.
UACAGAGACCUCAAGCGUUAUCCGGAAUCAUUGGGCGUAAAGCGUACCGAUAGGUGGUUUGGUUAGUCUUGGGUGAAAUCCCGAAGCUCAACUUCGGAUUUGCUCAGGAUACUGCCAGACUAGAGGGGCAAAGAGGAGAUUGGAACGAACGGUGUAGUAGUGAAAUGCGUUGAUAUCGUUCGGAACACCGAAAGCGAAGGCAGAUCGUCUGGGUGCCACCUGACACUGCUAGGACGAAAGCGAUGGGGAGCGAAGUGGG